Molecule: long non-coding RNA, 7890 nt
Organism: Zonotrichia leucophrys gambelii
Lineage: Eukaryota; Metazoa; Chordata; Aves; Passeriformes; Passerellidae
Exons: 3
Source: RefSeq, a predicted model, not a curated record
GCUUAGAGGAGCUGCCUACGAGAAGAAUUGACGAGGUAUGAAUCUCUGGCAGUAUGGAAUCCUUGCACUAUAAUGAUAAUAGAAUUCUUGAUAUAUAAGACAGCACAUCUUCACAUCAGCAUGAACCUGUUGCAAGACCUGCCUGGGAGUCUCAGUGGAAGUUCUAGCAUGUGCCCUGGGGCUGCACAGCUGCUGGCACAGCUAGCCCAGCAUCUCACCUCACUUGCCAGCAGAAAGUUAUUGUACUUCUGAAAAUGGGUGAGAAAAGUAAACUAUUUGCUCUGCUUGAACAUAUGUACGUUAAACAGAUGCAGCUUUCCCCCUUUGCCUUGUUGCUUCUUAACCCAAAUCGUGCCACUGAUUUAGUUUAUGCUACAGCUCUCUAAAAGAGUUGCAUUGACUCAGUUGAAGUGGACAAUGGGAACGACCGUGAUUUCUGCUGGAACAAAAAAAAAUCAGCACUAAGGAUCCACCUCAUGCAUGACAAAGACCAAGAGAGACACCAGAUAAGCCUUUGGGAUAAUUACUUUGUGGGUGAGAAGCAGUAAUGUAUUUUCUUUUUCCAGUGAAGUGAAGUUACAAAGCUACGAUUUAAAUACUUCAGGACUACAGAAAUGGGAGGGGAAGUGCAUCGGGAUAUAAAACAUAUGAAAUGUUUCAUGGUAAAGAAUAGCUGAGAAAUGUGCAGGAAUAACAGAACUUCAGCUUCACAUCUGUUCUUAAAUAUGUAAAUCCGUUAAACUCCACUGGACAUUUUCUACUGACAAAUCUGGGCAGGCUGGACUUUCUAUUAAAACUAUUUUCUCUCCAUAACUAGCUACAGGAACUUCAAAGCAAAAUGUUCUGUUCUUCACUUUGGUGUCCCACUGUCCUUUUGGUGCUCAGUGUCCCACACAACACUGAUGCUAGAUGAGAGGUAUUUGCUCUGAAAUCUCUCUUCCCUAAAGAGGGAGCAUCUGCAAACACAGUGGCAACACAGCUCGGUGGCUUUGAAGACAGGGAAAUGCCAUCUUUUUUCUGAAGCCUGGAAUACAACCACCUUCCCACUGGCCAUGUCACCGUGGCUGCUGCCAGCUGAGGCUAAGGCUCUGUAAACAGAGCUCAGAGAGGUGGGGAGGCUGCUUUGUGCUGCCAGCACUGAUGUCCCCUGCAGUGGGUACCUCAGCCAGGACACCACUGACAGCACUGCUCACCUUGCAGAGCAUGUGCUGCUCUCCAGGCAAAUCUCUGCUAGCAGAAGCCUGCACGGGCAUAUGGGCUGUCCACAGCAUCCUUCGCAAACUGCUCAAACACAGACUCUCUGAUUUUGAAGCUCUGUGUGGGUUGCUACGUUUUUGCGGCAUUUCUGAAAGUUGAUGAUUUCCCGCUGAGCCCCAGAAUAACGCUGUAGGGUUAUGGGUGUGAUCAUGGUUUGUGCCGUAUCAAUAGGGAAGUGAAGGGAUUGCACAGGGAGGGCAGAACCAGGGUGAUGUGAGUUACUAGGGGGCAGUUUGGCUCUGGUGGCAUUUAGAGUGUGACACAGAUCUGAAGAGAGAUUGUUUCAUGGAGUAAACACAGCAUGACCUGGUUCCUGGUGCAGUUAGGUAAGGUGUCUACUCUGACCUUCCCUCCCCUCCCCAAAACCAAUGACCAAUCUUUACAUCUACCAGGGGAAAUACAGAUAAAUAUACUGAUAUAUGUCUAUGGAUCCACAUAAAUAUUCUGCUGGUCUAGUGAGGAUCUUCAGGGGCAAAAGCCUUCCAGAACAGGGUUGCAAGAAGCAGCACAUCCCACCAUGUCCCUACCCCUCCAUCUCCAAUAUCCACCAUGGAAAAGGACAGCAGUCGUGCAAGUGUCACUGCUCAUCAACAUCCCAGCACUGGGGAGACACAAAGAGCACCAGAAUUCACUCUAAUCAUCUCUGUCCACUGAGUGUGGUUGCAGAAAGUCAGAUGUGAUCAACCUCAGAGCACGAGCGAUUGCUGCAGUGCUUCUCCUUUGUCACGUCAGAGGCAAACCAGGGGCUGUGUGGAUGCAGCCUGUUCCUCUGGAAGCAGGUCCACAGAGCAGCCUGGCUCAGCGUGGUGAGCCUCCUCCAGCAGCAGGCAGCUAAACAUUUCAUUGGGUUUCUACCUAUCAGUGUCCUCCACAGCAGUUUCUGGUGACUCAUUUAACAGGUGCUGAGCAGGGUGUGCCUUGGCAAUGGAUUCUGUAGAAAUCACUCACUGGACAUAUGCAGAUUAACAGAGAAGGACACCAGCUAAUUAAGUUUUUGUUACAUGCACAAAAUGAAUGCUUUAUGGGAUGGAUCUCAUUUUCUAACCAAGCCUGUGGGUAGGAUUUCCCUCCAAGUUCCUGCACUAGAAUGUGGAAUUGAAAUCUUUUCAGAAGAAUCCCAAACUGGCAUGGGCUUGAAGUCAGAGACUAUAAUUUCUGUCUGUUUAGGAGUUCAGUGGGCCCAUACUUGGCUUUAGACAUCUGAUUUAUGCCAAAUGCAGCCUGCUCUGGGCUUGCAAACACGAUCUGUUUGUGCAGGAAUAAGCUGGAGAUGAAGCCUGGCUCUCCUCUCUCGCUGUAAACAGAUCUCCCAGGGUGGGAGUGUAAACUGCUACUUUUUUUUUCUCCUUUUUUUUUGUCCUGUAACAUGGGUAAUGUUUUCUUGGAUAGAAGAACUUCUCAGCUAGCAGCGUCCAAAAUCCAACGGUCACACCAUGGUGGAAACACAGAAGGAUCCUGUCUCACUGAAAGAACUGAGAAGGAAAAAAGGAUCCUCGUGGAGCAAGAGGCAGGUUUUGGCAUCCAGAGCAGACAGGAAGAUGGGGAGCAGGCUGGGCCAACGCAGGUUGCUGGGGUGAUGUGGGCACAUACUCAAAGAAAUGGAGCAGGGCUCAUCCUUUCCACAAGUCAGCUGAGGGGCUCUGCAGAUGGACAGGCAAAGGCCAGGCCAGUAUUUCUGAAAAGACUGCAGUGGUGUAUUAAUGCAGAGAGUGCUCUUCUGCUUGAGGAGGCAAACAUAAAAGACAGACAAGCACUUUGGACAAAAAGCUGUCAUUUCAGGGUACGCCUGCUCUCUGGAAGCGUGAGGACCAGCACGCCUGACAGCAACCACCAGGAGCUCUUCCCCAAGCCUGUCCAAGGCUUGUCAGAGCACAAUCAGCUCAGAGCAGGCUCACAGUGGUGGGGCAGGUGGGCUGCCAUGCGCUGCUGUGCCAUGCCAUGCAUGGGAGAGGGUCCCCAGGGAGCAGCUCCCCAGCCUGCACCCCCUCUGAUGGAUGCACACUGCUGCUCUCCUGCCAUUAGCACAUUUUAACAUCAUUAAUCUUUCAGGAAAAUUCUGCAGUAUUCUAAAGCACACCCUGGGUAGCAAGUUAAAUUUGUGUGUUUAAACAGAGUCUUUUCACUGUGAAGAUGCAGCAACAGUACUGCUUGCUGGGGAUUUGAUGAUGUCAGCGUUGGGGACAGGAUGAGGAAAAUGGAAAAUCUUCACCAGAGCUCGCCUCCUCUGCAAAAUCAAGUUGCAAUUUUCAAGCAUACACCACAAGGAUUUGAGCAUGCAACUCUUGUGCCCCUCAGAGCAGUCAAUAUGAGUCCAUGGACAUUCUACACUGCUGCUGUUCUCCCAUAGGUACUGAGGGAGGAGGAGGAUUUAGAAAUUAGGUGCUGGAGGUGAGUGGGAGGAAAAGGGAGAGAAGGAAGGUAGAUACAGAGGUUAUAAUUACAUGAAAACUGCUGUUGAGGUAAUUUUUUUUCUGGAGAAUACUGCAGAACUCAACAGGGAAAAAACCACAACAUGCUGUGAGCACUGAAGAGAAUUAAGAGAAAAUUGCAUCCUUACUGUACAAUGCUGUAAUCAUCCUGAGAUCAGAGCAAGAAAGACUUGCUUUCAGUGGUCACUUUAGGGAACAUUUAAACAAACUGGACAUAGGCAGGCCCAUGAGACUCCAUGGGAUGUACCCAUGAGUGCUGAGGGGCUAGGCAAUGUCACUGCAAGGUCACUCUGUCACCUUGGCAGUCAGGAGAGAUACCUGAAGACUGGAAAAAAGAAAACAGUCCUCCUCUUUUAGGAGAGCCAAAAAUAAGGUCUGGGAAACUGGUAAAGAAGACCAAUGGUGUCAUGGACUGCAUGAGACAAAUCUUUGCCAGCAGGUCCCCUCCCAUGCCUGGGGGGCUUUGUCCAGUUCAGGGUUCACCAGUGCCAGAGGGAUAUGGACACACUGGAGAGAGUCCAAUGAAGGAUCAUGAAGCUGGUUACAGGAUUGGAGCCAUCUCUUAUAGAGGGGGAAGCUGAGAGAGCUGGGACUGGUCAGGCUGAGAAGGCUCAGGGAGGAUCUCACCCCUAUGCAUAAACAUCUGAAGAAAGGAUUUGCGGGAGAUGGAGGCAAGCUCUUUUCAGUGAUGCCCAGUGCUAGGACAAGAGGCAAUGAGCAGAAGCUGAAAUGCAAUAAAUGUAUUUAAACUCCAGAAAAAAAUGCUCGACUGUGAGGGUGGUCAAGCACUGCAGCAGGCUGCCCAGAGAGGGGAAUGGAAAACACUGCUCCAUCCUUGGAGACAUUCAGCAUCAACUGGACAUGACCCUGGGCAAUCUGUCCUAGCUGACCUGCUUUGGGCAGGAUGAUCUCCAGAGGUCCCCACCAGUCUUAUCCAGCCUUAUCAGUCUGUGAUUCCCAUGUUACCUGGCUUCAAUUUGUCAUGAUUUUUAUAUCUUCAUUCAGUGAUUGAUAGAAUGACUUUUUUAGUGAAUUACAGUUUUUUGUUGGUAAGAAGCAUGUGAUAAACCAGACUUUGUCAGCUCUCAGCCCAAACAGAAAAAUCUACAGCUCUUCACAGAGAUUAAACACUGCAGCUACUACAUGUAAACAGCAAGUCUGGAAAGAAUUACCCUGGAAUAAUUAGACAUUUGUAGGAAAAUGUCACAGAACAAAUAGAAACAUUAUUCUUACAUGUUCAUUCUGACAGGUUCAUGCUUACAGGACUGUGAACAAACAAACAUUCUGACUGGUUCAUGCUUACAGGACUGUGAAGAACCUCCUGGGGAGACUCUUUUUCAAAUUCAGUUUCCUUAUCAAAAAUAUUCAAUUAAAGCAAAUCCAGGACAUGAAGAAAUCCACGGAGGGAUGGGAAAGAUUUCCCAGUUCACCUGGGGUGUCAGCAAAGCCCUUUCCAGGCAAUGGUCUCAUGCUCCACCCUCAGGAGAGCAGUCCAAGCAGGUUGGGUCAGAGCUUGCAAGGAGUGCCUUGGUGUCUCUGAGGUGUGAUCCUGCAGAAGCAGCUAUUUCAUGCUAAAAAUAUGUAUUUUUAGCACAGCAGCUUGCAGCCUCAUGCUGAGAGGAAGAAGCUGAGCCAAGGGAGGGAGGGCUGAUGCUGCAAGGUCUGUGGCAGGCAGAACAGAUGCAUAAUUUCAUGCUGUAAGAAAUCACCACCUUAUACAAGCUGCCUCCUUUAUCCCUCCCACCACUCUUGGUGGCAUUUUUCUUUCUAGAAAGCGAGCCUACCACAUAGAAAAAGCAAUUUAUCUUCUCCUUUUAGGAGAUGUUUUUGCUGGCAGAGCCAGAGCUCUUCUUUGCUUUCCAUAGUUUCCCAAGCACUUGUGGUGGAACAUUUCUAAACAGCCUCAAGCGGAGCCCAUGAGCCCAGUGAUUGUGGGCUGGGAGCAGAUCCCUGCUGGGGAGAAGAGCUCAGCCUUGCCAGCCCCUGCAGCUCUGCUGGUGCAGGGCCAUGUGCCCCAGGAGCAGGACAAGCCUGUGGUGCCACGUGGAGCUCCAGGAGCAGCCAUGGGAAGGCUUGGCUGUGCUGCAGCUGAGCAGUAAAUGAUAUUUUCUGACAAGGAACAGCAGUUGUGAAGUUUGGUCUUCUGUGCUGCACUGGAGUCAUCCAAAAUUAUGAUCUACAGCUCCACCCCACCCACUGAGCUGCUGCUCCUGGGAGCAGACCACCCAAACUCUCUCUCAGUGCUUUACAGGCUCCUGCAAGGCCAUGUCCAGGCUGUCCCUACACACUGGGGGAUGGAGAGAUUUCCAACAGACCCUUUGCCAUCACCCAGGACUGGUUAUGUUUAAACUCCAUGCAGAUAAAAGCUUUUUCUAUAAUGCUGGGGAUAAACUCAAAAUCUAAACAGGAGAGAGUGUUUUGCUGUCUUCUGACUGUCAGGACUUCCCUUUCCCAGUUGUUGAAUAUACAGAAGAGAGACAACAUUAAUCCAGAAUGUGGAAUUAGCACCAGAGUGUAUAACUGGUGCAGCUGUCCAGCACUGACCAAGCUGGCAGGUGACAAAGUAUACAGAGAGCAGGAAUUAUUUAUCUCAAUAAAAAGCCUACCUGAGGCUUUCCCCAGCACAAAGGAGAGAGGAAAGUAAAUUUCAGAGAUAGCUGAGAGCAGGCCAGAAGAUGGCACAUGGCCCAGGCCCUGCCUUGUGUGAUUUUAACAUGAUGAAAAGUGUGAAUCAAAAGGCAGAGAAGCACAAGAGGUCACAAGGCAGCACCUGAGUUCCAGGGGACCUGCAGAGGGCUCACAGUGGGAUGCUCUGUCCCCAGCUGCAGAGGAAGCCAUGGAUGCACAUCACCAUUUGGUGUGUCCCUACCUCCCUGCCAGGCUCCCAGAAAGUGAGAGCAACAACGGAGCUAUUUGUUGGAUCAGUUGGAUCAAGUUUCCAGACAACUUCCUGUUCUUCCAGAUAUACACUGGCUCAUUUACAGGAACAGAGACCAAACUGGAACAGACAACUGGCUCACCAGACCUGCUGGCCACUCACCACAGCGUGAUGCUUCAGCAGAGGACAUGCUCCCUUUCCUCUUCCCUGCAUAAACUAGUCUGUAAUUGAAUUUUUUUGGUGAAUUUUCAAAGUUGCUGAAAAGAUUUGGGACUCAGCACUGGAGCCCUUUGAAAACUGAAGUUCAUUUACAUACAGAUGUUUCUCAGUGUCAGAAUGUGGUGCUCUGGUCUGUGUUGGCAUGCAUUUCACAUUAGAGUGCAGCAACAGAAAUCAAGAUCCCCUCCCAUAAUUAUUCUUUAUGUCUUUCUUCAUGAUCAAGAACAAUCAAGAUCCUCAGCCAGAGACUGCUGUGGAAAGGCAUUAAGCUACAGAUACUUCCACAAACACUGUCUAGGGCUUUAGCCCUGCUAGAAGAGAAAUCUCACCUCUGGGCAGGUACAUCAUGUACAUGUACAUCAACUACUGCAAGGAACUCAUAUUGGAACAGCAAGACUGAGCAUUUCUAAAGGCUUUCUCCUUGGCACAGAGACAGACUUUAAUUGCAGAGCUUGGGGAAAGAGUAAAUGAGCUGUUUAAUGGGAAAAAUUAAACCUCCUCAUACACCGACAAUGUCCAGCUCUGCUAGCUAGACAGCAAGUAUUUGACAGCAAACUGUUCAUAGAUUACUUCCAUCAGCAGAACAAUUUAAGUUAUAUCAGAAUAGGUUUUUUUGCUGUCAUGCUUCCCAUUCCCAGACAUCUUUGUAAAGUCUGCAAACAGAGAUGCCAACAUAUCCCAUUCUGACCUACAUAGCAAACAAUUGGACUUGUGUUCCUGCUGUGUUAUCACCAAAAUGAAUCAUUGUCAUGUCUCCUCAAAGGCCUGGCAAGAUGGAGACUUUUUUGCUGGGAAGUGUCAGCUGAACCCUGCACCUACUGCUCUCAUGACACCAACUGCAUACUUUGUGUUUAUCACAGAAAAGAAAAACAUCCAGCAGAAAAAGGCUCAGCUUUAAAUUUCACUCUUUGCCAGGAAAAACAUGGGAACAAGUGAAGCACAGCUCUGAAAGCUCUAGCUUAAUAAACUCCAAGGACAACAAAAACAACAAAAAAAUCAUCAAUCUUUUAUGAAAAACAGAAUAAAGAUGCUAGAUAAAAACACACACAAGCCCAUACAUUGCACAAGUCUGAGGAACAGAAAUGGCCAUGCUAUAGCAUUAUUGUU